UGGGACCUUAGUGAGAAAAAUAUUCAUAUGAACGGUAUGAGCAACACAUUUCCAGACAAAAGCAGGGAGGAGGGACAAUAUGUAUAGACAGAGUCUGGGGGGGGCUGUGACUUCAUCACACUUCACCCGAUAAGAGGGUUCACUUUGGGAGCUGGUAACUGGAUGAAGACUUGAAAGACCGGGCUGCAGGAAGCGGUGCUGGUGAGUCAGGAUAUGGCAGCCUUCCCUCCGAGUCAUCCUUGAACCGCUGCCCCGAUGUGCUCAUAGUGGGAAUUGGAUUAGGAGAGAUGCUCUUCCUUCAGAUGAGAUUUCAAACUUGGGUCGUGACCACUUGAUGUCAUUAAGAGUUACGUGCCAUUUCUUCUUGAGAACAUGGAUCUAAAAGCUGCAUGUGGUCUGGUUUCCAGUUUGGAUGGCUGUAUUUUGCAAUCACACCUUUCUGCAGCUCUGAGUGGCAACACCCCUUCCGGCCCUGCUCUCUGUCCCAGUGCUGCAGGCCAUGACACACGUCCACCCUGCUUCCAUGUGGGAGCCACUGCACAGCAGUCAGUCCUGACAGUUCCUCCACGGCUGCUGAAUAACUCUUAACUUCCUGUCAGAAUUAUUGCCUUAUUCCUACCAUUCUCUGUAACACUGAUCAGUUUAGCAGAGAAAAAAAGAGAAAUCUGUGUCGGGUGGAUGGCCUUACUUGCUGCUGGUAGGGACACUUAUGUGGCACUGAGGGACACGGUUAGUGGGCAUGGCGGCGAUGGGCUGAUGGUUGGACCAGAUGGCCUCGGUGGUCUUUUCCAACCUUAAUGAUUCUGUGACUCUGUGAUCAUGCGGGCUGUGUGUGGAGCGAGGGAUCAAGCCUGUGUUUAGGCUGCCGUUCAGCCAGCAGCUAGCAACGGCACCUUACGGAACACCACAUUCUCAUCCCUGUCACUUUUAAUUUAAAUGGCACUUCUGGUGAAUUAUGAUCCUGAGGGAGACAGGCAGGAGCUGGGGCAGAGCCGGCCGCGACGGGGACCACCGACUUACAACCGGCCAAACAGGCGGCGGGAGCGUUGCCAGCCCACCCUCUCCCCGGCCGGGCGGCGGGUGCGGGCCGGGCGCUCUCCCUCCGCCUCGCUGCCUGCCCGGCUGCCUCCCGCGGAGCCGCCCCAGCCUUCCGGCCUCUCCCCGCAGCGCCGGCCGCCUCCCGGCGCCUCUGCCCCGUCCCCCGCCGCGGCGCCAGGCGGUCCCCGCCCGCGGGCGGCGGUGCCGGCAGCGGCCGCUAGAUGCCGCCCUGCCCAACGCCUUGGAGGUCUGGCGGCGGCCGGGCGGCGGGUGGCGGCGGCUCGGCGGGCCCGUGGCGGCCCCCCUCGGCCGCCGGAGCGUCGGUGGCGUCUGCGAGACCCGGCGACGCGAGUGGCGGCUGAAGGGGCUGGCAUUCCUCGCGUAUUCUCUUUACCAGAACAGAAACAUGGUUUUUGCGAGCAAAAUCAUCUGAAGAACACAGCCCCAUGCUGUAGCUGCUUGGCUGCAUACACUCAUUGGGGAAGAAGUCAAGAGCAGUCAGCCCACGCUUCCAGACUGGCUCUCAAGGAGCCCAGAGUCACUGAGAUUUGGGAUUAUUUGCAUUUGAAAGCUACUUCUCAGGAUACAGUUCAGUGGAUAAUGGAAUAUUAGCAAAUGUCACAUGUGUUGUUUUUGGUUU
RNAcentral lists this long non-coding RNA (1678 nucleotides) under Gallus gallus (chicken). RNAcentral describes it as "long non-coding RNA NONGGAT004354". Lineage: Eukaryota; Metazoa; Chordata; Aves; Galliformes; Phasianidae. The record is from RNAcentral.